Molecule: ribosomal RNA, 650 nt
Filed under: uncultured bacterium
Lineage: Bacteria
Description: bacterial SSU rRNA
Rfam family: Bacterial small subunit ribosomal RNA
Source: RNAcentral
CGGCAGCGGCAGACGGGUGAGUAACGCGUGGGAACGUACCUUUUGGUUCGGAACAACCCAGGGAAACUUGGGCUAAUACCGGAUAAGCCCUUACGGGGAAAGAUUUAUCGCCGAAAGAUCGGCCCGCGUCUGAUUAGCUUGUUGGUGAGGUAACGGCUCACCAAGGCGACGAUCAGUAGCUGGUCUGAGAGGAUGAUCAGCCACAUUGGGACUGAGACACGGCCCAAACUUCUACGGGAGGCAGCAGUGGGGAAUAUUGGACAAUGGGCGCAAGCCUGAUCCAGCCAUGCCGCGUGAGUGAUGAAGGCCCUAGGGUUGUAAAGCUCUUUUGUGCGGGAAGAUAAUGACGGUACCGCAAGAAUAAGCCCCGGCUAACUUCGUGCCAGCAGCCGCGGUAAUACGAAGUUGGCUAGCGUUGCUCGGAAUCACUGCGCGUAAAGGGUGCGUAGGCGGGUCUUUAAGUCAGAGGUGAAAGCCUGGAGCUCAACUCCAGAACUGCCUUUGAUACUGAGGAUCUUGAGUUCGGGAGAGGUGAGUGGAACUGCGAGUGUAGAGGUGAAAUUCGUAGAUAUUCGCAAGAACACCAGUGGCGAAGGCGGCUCACUGGCCCGAUACUGACGCUGAGGCACGAAAGCGUGGGGAGCAAACAG